AGUCUUAAGAUUUCUCAAAAGUUUAAUUCUAGUUAUCAAGUAUUAUUGUAUAUUUAAAUUAAUUAAUUAGACAAAAAGAUGAAUGUGUGAUAAUUAAACUUAGGGCUAUCUUAUAUGAAUAUAUUCUUUUGACUUAUUUUUACAAUCUAAUAAUAUAUAUGAAUUGAAUUUUCACUAAUUUCUUUUAAGUGUCUUUUCAAUCAAUUAAAUAAUUAACAAUAAGUGAUGAUAUGACUAGACAUAAUAAUUUGAAAUAAGCUUUCUCUUAAACCUACUGAACAUGAUAUGUUGAAACCAGGUAACAAAAUGAGACAAUUAGGUCAAGAAAUGUGUGGCUACAAAGUGUGUACAUGUGUGUGUGAAUGAAUGAGUGAAGCUAGCAAUUACAUGGUAAUAUAUAUAAGCUGAAACAUAAGUGUAUUUUCCUUGAAAAAGAAAAGGAUAAAGUUUGAUAUACAUCUAAUUUAAUUAAUAAAAGCAGCCAAUGGGGUGUGUCACAUUAUUUUAUUUAUAUAGAUAAGAAAAAAAGGGUAAGAACACAAAUAUUAAUUAUAGGUAUCAUGUGUCUCGUUGAGAUCAUGUUCCUUGGCUGAGAAUAAAAGUUAUGCAUGUUAGACAACACGUAUAAAAAGAGUAGCAUUGUAAGAUGCUGAUGAAGAAAAAAAUUGAUGCCUCUUUGCUUUGAAGCUUGGGGAUCCAAUUCAACAUCACACAAUAUCCCAUUUCUCAUUGCAAUGUGUCACAGUGACUAGGGUGAUGAUUUUCUUGUUUGGGAAAGAAUGAAGUUGAGGCAGAGAAAGGUACUAAUUUGGAGCUAGCUAUAAUGUCUUGGUGUGCAUUAUAUAUGUUUGGGAGAGUUAAAAUUAAAAUAAAGAAAAUGCAUGGUAUAUAUAUUUAUUUGGAAUUAUGUCAUACAAACUCCUAGAAAUUUUUUUUCUCUUUCAUCUAACUAGAGAUAGAGCUAUUUAAGCAUACCCCACUUCCAUGAACUUUAACACCCUAAAAUAGAAGGUUAUAUUAUCUCUCAUCCAAACUAUUUUCUUCUCAUAUAUAAUAGGCAUCACCAAUUGAAAAGAAAAAAUGAAUAUGCUAUAGGAGACUAGAAAUAGCUUCAUAGUUACAUGCAAUAGUAAUUAAUAGUACUAUUGGGGCACACAAACUAGCUAUAUAUCCUUGUUUUUAUGUUUCUUGUUUUAGAAAAAAACAACACUUUC
This is a non-coding RNA of Arachis ipaensis, 1214 nucleotides long. The record is from RefSeq and is a predicted model, not a curated record. Lineage: Eukaryota; Viridiplantae; Streptophyta; Magnoliopsida; Fabales; Fabaceae.